UGCGAGUCGUACGAGAACGGGUCUUAGCUUGCUAAAGAUUGCCAGCUAAGUGGCGCACGGGUGAGUAAUAUAUAGUUAACCUGCCCUAGAGAGAGGGAUAACGUUUGGAAACGGACGCUAACACCUCAUAUGCCUUUAAGACAAAAGUCUGCAAGGGAAACAUUUAUGGCUCUAGGAUGGGACUGUACGGUAUCAGUUAGUUGGUGAGGUAAUGGCUCACCAAGACAAUGACACCUAACUGGUUUGAGAGGAUGAUCAGUCACACUGGAACUGAGACACGGUCCAGACUCCUACGGGAGGCAGCAGUGGGGAAUAUUGCACAAUGGACGAAAGUCUGAUGCAGCAACGCCGCGUGGAGGAUGACACAUUUCGGUGCGUAAACUCCUUUUAUAUAGGAAGAUAAUGACGGUACUAUAUGAAUAAGCACCGGCUAACUCCGUGCCAGCAGCCGCGGUAAUACGGAGGGUGCAAGCGUUACUCGGAAUCACUGGGCGUAAAGAGAAUGUAGGCGGGUAAUUAAGUCAGAAGUGAAAUCCAAUAGCUCAACUAUUGAACUGCUUUUGAAACUGAUAACCUAGAAUAUGGGAGAGGUAGAUGGAAUUUCUGGUGUAGGGGUAAAAUCCGUAGAGAUCAGAAGGAAUACCGAUUGCGAAGGCAAUCUACUGGAACAUUAUUGACGCUGAGAUUCGAAAGCGUGGGGAGCAAACAGGAUUAGAUACCCUGGUAGUCCACGCCCUAAACGAUGCACACUAGU
RNAcentral lists this ribosomal RNA (754 nucleotides) under uncultured Arcobacter sp. Its description in RNAcentral is "bacterial SSU rRNA". It matches the Rfam family "Bacterial small subunit ribosomal RNA", at positions 56 to 820 of the family's 1533-position model. Lineage: Bacteria; Pseudomonadati; Campylobacterota; Epsilonproteobacteria; Campylobacterales; Arcobacteraceae. The record is from RNAcentral.